CAAAUUCAAGUCUGUUUCAAUGGUGUCAGUUCUCCUACUUAGAUAAGACAGUCAGGAUCUGGCAUAAUUCACAUUGUAAUGGUUCUUUAUAGGAGAAACACAAGAGGGAGCUUGUUGGAAGAUGAUGAAUAAGGCAGAAGAAGAGUCGAUGAAGAGAAGGUUUAAAGUUUAUGAAGAACUCCUUGGCCAAGACACCAACUCUCUUGGAUGGGCUUGUUUAGUUGUGUAUUUUCUUCCUAUUUCCCCUUUAUUCAACUGUCUGUUUCACUGCCUUUUUGAUCGACCAACUCCUAUAUUUCAUAUUUUUUGCCACAGUUGUUGUCACCUUUUGCCGCCCUUCCAAAUAAUUCUGAGUCGAUCUUCCACUUCCAUCGGUGAAAAAUGAGAUUGAUAUUUAGGGCAUUUAUCCUAACCUGACACCUGUGUUUACAAUUACGACUUGAUUUAAUUGAAUUGGGGACAAGACUUCACGGUUGGUUUAUGAUUUAUUAUCGCCUAUCAUCUUUUUGUCUCUCUCUCUCCCCCUCCAAAUUCCUCUUUUUGUUUCUCUCAAAAAAAAAAAAAAAAAACACAUAUGUUUUAAUUUUCAAUCUUGCUUUCAGCACACAUUUUUUAAAUAAUUUUUAAGAACUGAAAAUUAUAUGAAAUUUUUUAUACAAAUAUCUGAUGAAUGAUAUUCCAUGCUCUUGGCCCCCGUUCA
Molecule: long non-coding RNA, 700 nt
Filed under: Androctonus crassicauda
Lineage: Eukaryota; Metazoa; Arthropoda; Arachnida; Scorpiones; Buthidae
Source: RNAcentral